GAUACCCCACUAUGCUUAGCCCUAAACAUAAGUACUCAAUUAACAAGAAUACUCGCCAGAGAACUACUAGCCACUGCUUAAAACUCAAAGGACUUGGCGGUGCUUUAUACCCCUCUAGAGGAGCCUGUUCUAUAACCGAUAAACCCCGUUAAACCUCACCACUCUUUGCAAUGUCAGCCUAUAUACCGCCAUCUUCAGCAAACCCUAACAAGGUACCACAGUAAGCAUAAUUAUUCUACAUAAAAACGUUAGGUCAAGGUGUAGCCUAUAGAGUGGGAAGAAAUGGGCUACAUUUUCUAAUUCCCUAGAACACUUCACGACAGCUGCCAUGAAACAUGACUAGCCCAAGGCGGAUUUAGUAGUAAGUUGGGAAUAGAGCGCCCAACUGAAUUGGGCAAUAAAGCACGCACACACCG
This 416-nucleotide ribosomal RNA is filed under the name Sciurus spadiceus (Southern Amazon red squirrel). RNAcentral describes it as "partial 12S ribosomal RNA". It matches the Rfam family "Bacterial small subunit ribosomal RNA", at positions 781 to 1392 of the family's 1533-position model. The record is from RNAcentral. Lineage: Eukaryota; Metazoa; Chordata; Mammalia; Rodentia; Sciuridae.